AGCUGUAUAAAUUAGUGAACUCUUGAAUUUGAAUUUGGCUCAUUAUUAAAUUUGCAUUUCUAAUUUGAUGCAAUUUAGUUCACCGAAAAAUUUGGUGCCAAGUUAAAAGUAAAAUGUUUAAUUGUUCUUCGGUAAUUGUACUUGAUUAGCUCUAUAUGCUUUAAAUAAGUAUUAAUCUUGUGGUAUUAGAAUUAUUACUGGGAUCUUUUGAAGUGUAGAAACGAGAAAGAAUUAUGGCUCAAUUUUGUUAUUAUCAUGUUGUGGAGAACUACAAGAGUUUUGCGUAUGUUCAUUAACAAUUCAAUAGGCAAAUGUCAAGAUAUAUAGAGCUUUCAUUAUUAGGUAAGUAUAAAUUCGAUUAAAUCUUGUUUCGAUAAGAAUAUGAUUAUGCAUUUUUGCUGAUAUCUUUAAAAAUUUAAGAAUAUACGAGGUGACGUAUCUUGAUCAAAAUUGCUUUAGCAAUUAACUUUUGAUAAUUUGAAUUUUGAUGUGUAAAUAAAGAUUAUUAGGAGGGAUAUACUUAAACAAGAAGAUAAUUAUAUCUCUAAAUCAGUGUAUGUUAGAAUCAAGAAUGUGAUAAUGCAUUUAGAUUGAGACGAAUAAAAAUUCAAACAAUAAAAAUAUAAGUAAUUAGAUAUGAAAUGUAACACAUUUUAUCCAAAAUUAAAAUAAGACAAUGUAAGCGAUAAAGUGAUUGUGUUAAAACCACUUGACUCGAUGGGUGUCUUAUACCUUCCAUUAAUCAAUAAAAUUUCUUACUUGACCUUAUGUUUUUAAUUUGAGUACCCAAAUAAAAAGUCAUUUUCUUUUAAUUGAAAAUUCAAAAAAAAACUAUUUCAAAACCGAUAACCACUUUCACGUAAUGAAUCUAAAUACAUAAAAUAAUUUCUUGUCAAUACUAUUAGUUUAAUUGAAAAAACUCAAAAAUCUUUAUUUUCUCUCUUCUUAUCUUAAUUAAAAAAAAUCCUCCGUCUAUCCAGGAGGUUUUGGGAAGAAGGGGUGUGAUAGUGGUCACAUCAUUGCAAUUUAUCACCUUAUUUUCUAUCAAUAAAAUUUUGUCAAAACAGCAAUAGAAUUUGGUUUAUAAAUCAAAAUUUUUAAUUUUUAGUUAUGAUUUUUGAAUUAUUUUUACCUCUUUUAUUAAAAAUAAAAGAUAUUAUUUUUAUUUUAUUUAUACAAAACUAUAAAAAUACUUUUAAAAUUAAAUACUUAAAAUAAAUUAAUUCAAACUGAUUUUUAAUUUAAUGGAUCCCAGCAAAAGGACAUUACAUUGUGGGGUUUGUACAUAAGAUAUACAAACUUAGUCUACUCGUUGCGUCUCAAUUUUAGUUUGACAAGUACUUGACUAGGCAUCAAAUAUUUUUUCUAUUUUGUACUUUUAUAAUAAUUUAAAAUUACCAUACUAAAAAGACAUAAUUGUUCAAAUAAUAAAUAUUUCUCAUUUUCAAUUUUAUGAUUUCGAGUUUGAGUAAAAGAAAAAAUAAAAAGAUAAGAGCUCUAGAAAAGGAAUAAAAAAUAUUUUUUGAAGCAAGAAAAUACUAUAUUUAUUAGUCUUAACAUAUCAUUGUAAUUAUUAUGAGAAAAUAUUGCUAAAAAAUAUUAUUUUUUUCUUAAAGAAAAUCAAAUAUAAUAAUGUAAAAUGUAAAAGACAAAAGUAUGGGAUAAAAUUUAUCCGCAUCGCUGUAUCGAAUAUUUAUAUCAAAUCAAUAUAUACAUGUCAUGUAUUUAAAUUUAUAAUUUAUUUUGCUUUAUUAAAUCAUUAGUAGCAAGAUUGGACAGAAAAGUAGCAAAAUCGAUAAUGGCAACUACUCAAGGAAUUGGAUGCCAACUUUAUUUUUUGUAAAAAUUAUACAAAUCACAUAGUGUAAAAUAUAAAUUACAUUCUAUCCCUACUCUUUUAUAAAUUACAAAAAAUCCCAUAUUUUUAGUAAGUUUCAGAUACAUAUUAUGAUGUAUGAUACAUUAUAUUUGGUUUAGGUUUAACAGUGUAAUGCGUAAGGUGAGGAUUAAAAAUUGAAAUUUUUACUAAACCCCUAAAAGUCGCUAUCGUUACUAAUCCCCUAAAUUACGCCUUAAUUUAUUUGUUUCAAACAGUUUUAGUCAAUAUAAAAUACUAAGAGAAUUAGAAUUGUUUAUCUUUGUUUCUCCCAAAAAAGUUUCAGAAACGAGGUUUAUAAUUUUCUUUGAAGGCGAUUUUGUGAAGAUUCGUUAUGAAUAUUCCAAUCUUGUUAAGGCAUUCAGGAAUAUGAGAGAGUGAGGUUAGAUACGAGCGAUACAAAAGUGAUUGGAUAGUGAUUGGGGAAAAUAUUUUAUAUAUGAAUCUUAUUUCAGCCAUUGCAAUUGAAUUGAAUAUUGAUAAUUGAAAAAAAAAUGUUAUCAUCCGAUAUAUUAUAGAAGGUAAUUCAUCUCCGAUGAUAAUUAGGAAUGAUAUGGAAGUGAAGUUGUACGUAGAAAUAAACCUGUUGCAUUAGCCAAGCCGGACAAAAGUGAUUGGACAAUUCUGAAAAGUGUUUUGAAAGAGGUUGUCUUGCCACCAAGAUACAAAAAAAGGUCUGGUAGAUCAAGGAAAAAAGGAAAGAAAAAUGCAGAUGAAAAGCUAAUCGCAAACACAAAUUGUUGUGGACAAUUGGACAAGAAGGUUACAAUAGAAGAACAUAUACUUUUUUUUUAAAAAAAAUUCUUGAUGAUUAUGUUUUCGGAGUAUCAUGGAUAUUUCAUGUUUAAUAAUUCUCAAAGUGUAGCAUUUGUUACCACUGUUACACAGAGAUUUUGGUACAAUAAAUUGAAUUGAAACGUUUAUCAAUAUGUUCUAAAAUUUUUAUUUGUUAAAAGUUGUCAAAAGUUAAUUUUAUAUUUAUGUAUCUGAUACUUUAAUUUUUAUAACGUUUACAUCCAAAAUUUAAUUUGUGUUAAUUGCUGAGAUUUUUACCCAAAGGUAUAAGAAACAAGACGCAAAAUAUUUACUAAUUGUAUUAAGUUUAGCAAUAUAGUAUCACAUGUUUAGAUACUUAAUAAAUUUUCAUAUUAGAAGACCAAAUUAUUGUGUGUAAUAUAUAUAAAAUUCUUUCUUGAUAAAUCAUAUUACUUAAUAUAUCAAUUGUUGUGAUUUGUACAAAAUAUAUUUAAUUUUUUUAAAAAUAACUAGCAUGUAUCUAGUGUAAAAUAUAAUAUCACGAUUUGUGAUACAAACAAAUUUGUUAUUUGGUAAUCAUUUUUGUAUCAUGUACAUAAUAAUUAUUUACAAAAUUCUAAUGAUAUGUAUCAAAAAUAUCAGAUACAUUAAUGUGAUAUUUUUAGUGAUAAAAUUUCAUUAAUGUAACUAUUAUCAUAGAUAUCUCAUACAAUAACGUCAUUAUUAUCAUACUUUUUGGAUAUAUAAUUUUCUGAAUUCCUAACUGAACUAAACAGAAAAUCAAAAUUGAAAAUAAACAAUUUUAACUCUUCCAAAUUUAAUACUAUAUUAUUGUAAGGGUAAUAAACACUCCAAUACACUAUUUGAUCUCCAAAAUACAAAUAAGCAUCAACAUAUGUCUGUGAACAGGAACACAGAAAACUAACUAGCCUACAUUAACAAGUUCAUUUUCAUCUGCUGAUUUUAAGUCAUUCUUCAAUCUUGGAGGAUCAUCAUUGUCGCUAACAUAUCCAAAAUUGGUCUUGUCGAGAUCAUACUUCCAUAACAACAACAUAUCUUUUGCGAAGAUAGUCACGUCAAAACUAUUAUCUCACAUGUUGAUUUCGUCAUUCAAAAAUUCCGCAAAUGCAGCUAACAUUUCACAAUCACUACAAAAACAAGAAGAUUAAUGAUAAGAAUGAAUUAGAUACAAAAAUAAUAGAGAAAAAAUGAUACAAUACUGACAGGCUAUCGCUUUUGAGAUAUCUUGAGCAAACUCCACAUCAAACGAAUAUUGCGGACCCAAAAGUUCUUCGAUUUUCUUGUCUUUAUAUGCGUUCAAAGCUGUCCAAUCAGUUCUCUCUGUCUUUUCAAAUAACCCACUACCAUAAAUAAUUGGAUACCCUUAUCCCCUAUUAACAAAGCUAAGUCUCUUGAGAUAUUCAAUUGUAAAUAGAGUCAAACUUAAAGGAAUGUUUUGCAUCUAUUUAACUACAUAAUUCAUAUUCUGCAAUUGAAAAAAAUGAUGUUGAUACUUAAUAUAAAUAAUAAGCUUUAAUAUAAUACAUAAAAAUGUAAAACUGUACUUGAUACAUAAUUCUAACUACAGAUUAUAAAUCAGUCAAAUUUAUACUUAAUAGAAAUAAUAAGCUUUAAUAUGAUACAUAAAAAUGUAAAUUGUAAUUGAUACAUAAUUCUAACUAUAAAUUAUAGAUCAGUCAAAUUGAUACUUAAUAGAAAUAAUAAGUUUUAAUAUGAUACAAAAAAAAAGUAAAAUUGUACUUGAUACAUAAUUGUAACUACAGAUUAUAAAUCAGUCAAAUUGAUAUUUAAUAGAAACAAUAAGCCAACUGAUGAAACAUUAUGUUGUUCUGAUACAUACAUGUAAUCCUCUAAUUUGAACUUUAAACUUUCAUACACUUUUCACAACAAAAAAAUGACCAAAUAUGCUUUAUCUAGUAAGAUGAAUGAUACAUAAAAUCAACAUUUUGUAAAUUAAUGAUAAAUAUCAACAGUUAUAACUUGUUUUUUUUUUUCAUUUUAACUUCUUGAUACAUUAGUCGUAAGAAUAAUCAAAAUAUACCAAAAUUUAGAGUUUUGUGUAUCAAAUGAAGAAUAAUAUAUAUAAAAAAAUUAUUUAGAAAAAUGUUUCUACUAUUACACAAAACUCAUUACAUGUGAAUACAAAAAUUACAAAAAAAAUAUACUGAUGGUGGUGCAGAUCUGGAAAUGGAGACGACAUUCUUUCUACCUCUCUUCUUGGGUGUUUUUGCAUGUUUUUUUUUUUAAUUUCUUGAAACUUUAGAAGAUUAUUGCAAGCUCUUAGACUCGUUUUCUGCCACUUUAGAUUCUUCACAAAUAGAGAUUUAAUUAGUGUUUAAUGUAACUAUUUGGGUAAUCGCAAUACUAAAUGACGGAUGAUCCAUGAAGUAUUAGAAAGAAAAAAAGAAAGAAAAAAAUUUGAAGAUGAAAAUUUAUCUAUUUCGAACUUUGAAAUUGGUUGAGGAGAAUAUGGGAGAGAGAGAACAAGUUUGAAAUUCAAAAUUAAGAAGAUGGAACGGUUGAAAAUAUGGCAGAGAAAAUUUAGGAGUGAAAAUUGGGUUUGCUUAUUGAAGGAUAAGAUUGUGAAGUAAAUAGAGGAGUAAAUUUAGGGGUGAAAUGUAAUGGUUUGGAAUUCUAAAAAAUAAUGUAUCGGUAGUUUUUGAUUUGGGGAGAAAUAGGGAUUUUUGUAUUUUUUAAAAAUAGUAGGGAAAUAUGGUGAAUAUAUAAACUAAAGGUGUAUAUUCUAGUAAUUAUUCCUUAUUUUUUUGAUUAAUAACCCAUGAAUUGAUAACGAGAAAUAUGGCAAACGGUAUUUUCAAUUAGGUUCAGGGUGGGUGUUUGGUAUUCGAUUGGUGAUUUUUAAAUUUUGGAUAUAAUAAUUUGAUAAUUGAUAGUUAAAAGUAGAUAUGAUAUAUAUUAUUAAAUUUUGAUACGAUAAUAAUUGAUAAUUAAAUUUUAAUUUAGUAUGGUAUUUGAUAAUAUUGUAUUAAAGUUGUAGAUGAUUCUAUUACAAAGUUACUACCAUUGCUCCAAUAAUUUUUAUUUUUUAUGUGGAGGUAUGAUACAAUGGAAGAUCAACAAGAAAAAAGACAUCAAAAAAUGUAAAUUGAUAUAUAGAAUUAUAUGAUGACAUGUAUUUGAAUUGUUUAUGUUUAGUAAUGAACUUCCUUUAAUGACUUGUACUAAUGAAUAAUGGACUUGUUGAUGAAUUUUAUGAAGUAAAUAAUUCAAUAUUCACAAUAUACCAAAUAUCAAGUGAUACUAAUGUCUUAUUCUAAAUUCAUACUUAAAUACCGUAGUUCUAAAGUUUUAUUCCUGAACAUUAUAUAAAAUUACUGAAUAUUUAAUAAAAAAUAAAUAAAAUAAAAUUGAUUCGAUUGACAAAUUCAGUUUUUGAUAUUUUAUAUAUAACCCUAAUUAGGGGUUCAUUAUUUGUUCACUAUAUCAAAAAUAAUCUUUAUCGACAAUUAAUCACUGUAAUGACUUAAUUGCCACUAAAUAUGAACUUUUAGCGGCAAUUGGCACUCUUGUAUAUGUUUAUAAAAAACUUUAGUGAUAUUGGAUCCAAUUACAGUUAACUAAUGUCAUUAAAAAUUUUAACCCUCUUUUUAAUGUAUAUAUUUAUUGCUGCUAAAAGGUAUUUUUAUUGUAGUAAUUUUGAAUUGACGCUAAAAAAUAUUUUGUUACAGUAAUUUCGAUCCGUACUCUUAUUUUCAGAUACUUAUGAUCAUCAUCCCUUCUUUCAAUUUUAUCCUCCGACAACCAGUUCGCGGAGGUCACCUCCGCCAACAACAAAGGUUGCCGGUUUUCUCUUCUCGUUGUAUCCUAGUUUUUUUGUAGUAGCUCUAUUAUGCCUACUUUUCUUGUAACUUUAUCAUUCAAAUUAUGAAUUGUGACAUUAUGUAACACUAAUUCGAUACUGCAAUGCAAUAUAUUUUCAAAUAACACGUAACAACCAUUCAAACAAAGUAGUACAAAAGAUACCUAUAGCAGCAUCUGGACACAAUUUUGUAAAAUGUUCUUGCUUUACUCUUUCAAAUCAUAUUCAAAUCAUUAUAUUCACAUUUUAGGGAAGAGAAAAAAACAACACAAACUCACAAGAACAGAAAAAAAAGAGAAGGAAAAAAAAAGGCAGAGAAACACAUUUUAUCGGUAAAUUGUUCUUCACAAAAAGUAACACUAUGAUUUAUUUUCAUGAUUAUAUAAGACAUGAUUUCAGUGCUAGUACAUAGUUUGCUCA
RNAcentral lists this long non-coding RNA (6893 nucleotides) under Solanum lycopersicum (tomato). RNAcentral's name for it is "long non-coding RNA (SLYC_LNC000099)". Lineage: Eukaryota; Viridiplantae; Streptophyta; Magnoliopsida; Solanales; Solanaceae. The record is from RNAcentral.